This 497-nucleotide ribosomal RNA is filed under the name uncultured bacterium. RNAcentral describes it as "partial 16S ribosomal RNA". It matches the Rfam family "Bacterial small subunit ribosomal RNA", at positions 28 to 507 of the family's 1533-position model. The record is from RNAcentral.
GACGAACGCUGGCGGCGUGCCUAACACAUGCAAGUUGGGCGGUGAAGUUUGGUGCUUGGCACAUUCUGAAGCGUAGCGCACGUGAGAGUUACGCGCAGGGAAUCUGCAUGUUCACGGCGUAUAACCUUUGGAAUCGAAUUCUCAUACCCCGUCACAAAUUUAAAUAUACGCUUUAUGUUUGAUAGAUUCAAUUGCCUCAUUCAAGCCUGAACGCUGGUUGUAUUAGCUUGUUGGUGCGGUAAAGGCUAACCAAGCCGCUGAUACAUAGCCGACCUGAGAGGGGGAUCGGCCACGUUGGGACUGAGACACGGCCCAAACUCCUACGGGAGGCAGCAGUAGUGAAUCUGCGGCAAUGGACGAAAGGCUGACCGAGCAACGCCGCGUGAGUGAAGAAGGUUUUCGGAUCGUAAAACUCUGUUGGUAGAGAAGAACGUUGGUGAGAGUGGAAAGCUCAUCAAGUGACGGUAACUACCCAGAAAGGGACGGCUAACUACGUG